CAGAGGUUGCGCAGUAUCGCACAGAAGAAAGUGAGCUGCAGACUGAAGCACGGUGGUGAUGAACAUUUGGGAGAAGAUGAUCUGCAGGAUCCUGCUACUCAUCAUCCUCACCUCAUGUGUCUCUGGUUAGUUUACAGCUUCACUUUAUGAACUCCAAAUAAUGCUCAACAACAGAUUUGUUCCAGUUCUCAGUGUGUCUGCUCCUCUCUUUCCCUCUCUGUCUCCUCAACAGGAUCAUUUGUAGUCAAUGUGACACAGACCUGCUAUCAGGCAGAGGAGAACCACAACAUCACACUGGAGUGGACGUUCACCACCAAACCUGACAGAUCCACCAAAACUCUCAACGUCCUCUGUGAACUGAUAACUGAGCGUACAGAUUCAGUCCUGUAUCGUGUUCAAGAAGGUGUUGAGGUGUCAGAGUCUCAGGAUGAAAAGUUUUCAGGACGAGUUGAGAGUGACAAAGACGCCCUCAGAGAAGGACGAAUCAGACUUCAACUGUUUAGACUCAGGACUGAUGACUCGGGUCUGUACCUGUGUGAACUGAACACAGAUUAUGGCUUUGGCUCAGCCAGAUGUAGACUCAGCAUCAGUGCUUCGGAUGACCCCAAACGUCCAAGUCCAACAGUGAACACACAACCAGAGAGUCGAGGAUGGCUCAACCUGUAUCCUUUACUUAUACUGCCAGCAGCAGCUUUAUUGAUCAAACUCUGUUAUAAAAUCAUAAAACGAAAACAUAACCUAAAUCUAAACAGUCACCGCCUAGGCAGCGAAUGCAGUGAAGCAGUAGUCAACUUGAAUAAUUCAGAUGCCACUCACCUUGCUGCUUCAUUAGAAGCCACAUCCAUCAUCUUCUGAGUGUGGACAUGACUUCCCUGAACUCCAAAGAUUGUCAUGUUAACAGCUGGGUCUGCAGUGGAAGAUUUGUGGGAGCAUCAACCUCAGUGAGAGCUGAGAAACACUGUCUGCAGUCUGUAGCCAUCAUCAAAAACACUGAUGGAAACAUUCAAAGCUCUUGUCACGUAUAUCAUUAAUAAUAUUUCCUUCCUCUUUUGGUUCUAACAUUUGUUUUUGUUAGAUAUGGUAUGAGGAAUCUUUAAUUUUUGUCCAUUAGCAUCCAGAGUGAUUGAAAUCACUUGUUGUUCUCCCAUCAGCUGUUAUAAAUUAGUACUGGUUAAAAUGUGCCUGAACUCAAGUUGUUAAAGGAAUUCUAAGUGUUACAGUGAACUCCUAAUAAUUUGACUAUGGAUCACCAUAGGUAGAAUUUACUUUUUCUAAAGUUAAUGUUUAUGUGUAUAUAUUGUAAACAAGUCCUUAUUUAUAUGAAAGAAGUUAUGAUUCUUCUGUAUAUGUGUGUGUCCAAAUCAUUUUAUCAAAGGGUCAGAAGAUCUUAAAGAGGUCUAUAAUACCAAGUGUAAUCUAACAUGUUUGGUACUAUUACUUUACAAGGUGUAUUACAAGAAGGACAGGAGUUUGAUAAUUAUUUAAAAUAUAUAAAACACUGAAUGUGUACAUAUAAAGCAACAAAGUUGUUUACGCCAACUCUUAAUCGUAACAUUAUUCUACUUAAAGAAUAUUUAGUUGGCGUUGAAAUGACUUUUUCUCUCUCAGCACUGAAAAUCUAACACUUGAUUCUGCUGAGUUUUUCUGCUAUCAGCUUCUGUCUCUGCUUUCAUAAAAUAAAAUGAUCGAUCUUUUUGAUCAACAACACAAACAAUGGUGGUGACACUUUCUGUCGAAAAACACUGCGGCAUGAUGGGAACAGCUGCAGUUGUUUACAUAAAUCAGGGGUGUUGAACUCCAGGUUUUGAGGGCCGGUGUCCUGCAGGUUUUAGAUCUCACCCUGGGUCAACACACCUGAAUCACAUGAUUAGUUCAUUACCAGGCCUCUGGAGAACCACUUUAACUGGUUUUGAACUGGUUCUAACUGAUUAUAGUUGUUGUCAGCCAGUUGUGGCAGAUGACUGCCCCUCCCUGAGCCUGGUUCUGCAGAAGGUUUCUCCCACUUUAAAGUAGUGAUGGGCAGAUGAAGCUUCAUGAAGCACUGAAGCUUUUCAUCCAAUUGGUUCACCCCAGUGCAAAGCUUCUUGAAGCUUCAUUUGCUCUAGUAGGACACCUACUGGACGUAAAAAUAUUAGUUGGCAUGAAUUUGAAGUGUGUGGCCUUUUGCACACAGCCUGUAAAUGUCAACAACAAAAGGAGUGUGUAAAACAUCUAUAUUGUAUUGAUGGCAGUAUACUGUGUAUAUUUAUACUGGCAGUAUGGAAAAUGAUCAUUUGGAAAUGCUUAAAAUGGAAAUAAUCAUUUACUGUGAGGUGAGGUGUGGUUGGGGUAUGGACAGUGGUUGUGCUCUUGUAACGUUGAGGUAUGGACAGCUACACACUGAGGCGUCAGUCCUGCCCAUAUUCUAUUCAGUAAAAACUAAAUUUUCACUGCUUUUAUAACCUUUAGUGGGGAGAGCAUAGCUAGGAUUUAAUGAUUUAACAAAUCUUUUGAAUCCUUUGUCCUCCACAAUGCUAAAUGGCUGGGAGUCCUCAAUCACCAUGCUAACCAG
Molecule: long non-coding RNA, 2551 nt
Organism: Astatotilapia calliptera (eastern happy)
Lineage: Eukaryota; Metazoa; Chordata; Actinopteri; Cichliformes; Cichlidae
Source: Ensembl